AAGGCAUGAUGGGGACAUUUUUGAAUGAGGUCCUUUAAUCUUUCCCAUGACUCAUGGAACCGCUCACCAUCUUGUUGCGAAAAUGUAAUACCCUGCUCGUUCUU
Molecule: small nucleolar RNA, 104 nt
Filed under: Cephalotus follicularis
Lineage: Eukaryota; Viridiplantae; Streptophyta; Magnoliopsida; Oxalidales; Cephalotaceae
Description: Plant small nucleolar RNA R71
Rfam family: Plant small nucleolar RNA R71
About the family: R71 is a member of the C/D box family of snoRNAs containing the C (UGAUGA) and D (CUGA) box motifs.
Source: Rfam by way of RNAcentral